RNAcentral lists this microRNA precursor (72 nucleotides) under Drosophila willistoni. RNAcentral describes it as "mir-2 microRNA precursor family". It matches the Rfam family "mir-2 microRNA precursor family". Rfam says of the family: The miRNAs are transcribed as ~70nt precursors (modelled here) and subsequently processed by the Dicer enzyme to give a ~22nt product. In this case the mature sequence comes from the 3' arm of the precursor. The record is from Rfam by way of RNAcentral. Lineage: Eukaryota; Metazoa; Arthropoda; Insecta; Diptera; Drosophilidae.
UAACUCUUCAAGGGGGUUGUGAAAUGUUGCCAUUUUAUUCAACUCAUAUCACAGCCAUUUUGAUGAGUUUCG